GACGAACGCUGGCGGCGUGCUUAACACAUGCAAGUCGAACGGUAAGGCCCUUCGGGGUACACGAGUGGCGAACGGGUGAGUAACACGUGGGUGAUCUGCCCUGCACUUCGGGAUAAGCCUGGGAAACUGGGUCUAAUACCGGAUAGGACCACUGCCUGCAUGGGUGGCGGUGGAUAGCUUUCGCGGUGUGGGAUGGGCCCGCGGCCUAUCAGCUUGUUGGUGGGGUGAUGGCCUACCAAGGCGACGACGGGUAGCCGGCCUGAGAGGGUGACCGGCCACACUGGGACUGAGAUACGGCCCAGACUCCUACGGGAGGCAGCAGUGGGGAAUAUUGCACAAUGGGCGCAAGCCUGAUGCAGCGACGCCGCGUGAGGGAUGACGGCCUUCGGGUUGUAAACCUCUUUCAGCACCGACGAAGCGCAAGUGACGGUAGGUGCAGAAGAAGGACCGGCCAACUACGUGCCAGCCGCCGCGGUAA
Molecule: ribosomal RNA, 478 nt
Filed under: uncultured bacterium
Lineage: Bacteria
Description: partial 16S ribosomal RNA
Rfam family: Bacterial small subunit ribosomal RNA
Source: RNAcentral